GGCUGACCCUGACUUUUACCUUAUAUUUGUAUUGGUAUUAUUUGGGUCUCAAAACAAAAGAAAGAAAAUCAAGAAUCUUCUAAAAUUUUGGUAAAUGACCUUUCAUGAGCUAUAAAAUCUUAUAUGAAAAAAUAAAUGAGUGUUAUGGGGCAAAAUAUUUUACAUUGUAUUGUAUGGAAAAAUACCAAGGAGUCCGAACGUUUGACACA
This 209-nucleotide long non-coding RNA is filed under the name Mytilus galloprovincialis (Mediterranean mussel). Lineage: Eukaryota; Metazoa; Mollusca; Bivalvia; Mytilida; Mytilidae. The record is from RNAcentral.